RNAcentral lists this ribosomal RNA (500 nucleotides) under uncultured bacterium. Its description in RNAcentral is "partial 16S ribosomal RNA". It matches the Rfam family "Bacterial small subunit ribosomal RNA", at positions 30 to 523 of the family's 1533-position model. The record is from RNAcentral.
AUUGAACGCUGGCGGAAUGCUUUACACAUGCAAGUCGAACGGCAGCACGGACUUCGGUCUGGUGGCGAGUGGCGAACGGGUGAGUAAUGUAUCGGAACGUGCCCAGUCGUGGGGGAUAACGUAGUGAAAAUCACGCUAAUACCGCAUACGAUCUAUGGAUGAAAGCGGGGGACCGCAAGACCUCGCGCGAUUGGAGCGGCCGAUAUCAGAUUAGGUAGUUGGUGGGGUAAAGGACCACCAAGCCAACGAUCUGUAGCUGGUCUGAGAGGACGACCAGCCACACUGGAACUGAGACACGGUCCAGACUCCUACGGGCGGCAGCAGUGGGGAAUUUUGGACAAUGGGCGAAAGCCUGAUCCAGCCAUUCCGCGUGCAGGAUGAAGGCCCUCGGGUUGUAAACUGCUUUUGUACAGAACGAAAAGGUUUCUACUAAUACUAGGAGCUCAUGACGGUACUGUAAGAAUAAGCACCGGCUAACUACGUGCCAGCCGCCGCCGUAA